This 253-nucleotide ribosomal RNA is filed under the name uncultured bacterium. RNAcentral's name for it is "partial 16S ribosomal RNA". It matches the Rfam family "Bacterial small subunit ribosomal RNA", at positions 524 to 776 of the family's 1533-position model. The record is from RNAcentral.
UACGUAGGGUGCAAGCGUUGUCCGGAAUUAUUGGGCGUAAAGAGCUCGUAGGCGGUCUGUCGCGUCUGCUGUGAAAACUCGGGGCUUAACCCCGGGCCUGCAGUGGGUACGGGCAGACUAGAGUGCGGUAGGGGAGACUGGAAUUCCUGGUGUAGCGGUGAAAUGCGCAGAUAUCAGGAGGAACUCCGGUGGCGAAGGCGGGUCUCUGGGCCGUAACUGACGCUGAGGAGCGAAAGCAUGGGGAGCGAACAGG